Xiphophorus hellerii (green swordtail) is the source of this 1876-nucleotide long non-coding RNA. RefSeq lists it as uncharacterized. The record is from RefSeq and is a predicted model, not a curated record. NCBI's taxonomy places the organism in Eukaryota, Metazoa, Chordata, Actinopteri, Cyprinodontiformes, Poeciliidae. The transcript has 2 exons.
UUGCAGGGCACUGAAAACUUUAGUUGUUCACCACUGCAUUUCUUCUGAAAAGAUUACAACGUACAAUAAUGAAAGCGUAUUUAAACUAGUUAACACUUCUAAACUCUCUCAACUCUAACAACAUGCAUUAAGACAUACAAAAGUUUAAAUAACAUACUGAGAAAUCCCAAACCCUGGAAAGAACUCUAUCACCAAAAACAUGAAGACUGACAAGAGUUACCACACACAGCCGUCAGCCACAAUUAUUUUCUCAUUCCUUUUCUGUUUAUGUUGAAACUCACAUAGCUGAAUUCAUGUCAACUGGAAACAAUGCCCAAAACUAAAGUUUCUAUAUCCUCUAGCUCUCUGUCCAACCUUUAUUCUUAACCUCACAUUGGAGCUGAUGUCUAGGUAAUUGUUUUGUAAAUGUCUCUGUGUGUCCUGACAAUAGAUUCUAAAAAAAGAAACAAGACAGAAGGUUUGUUUUUAUUUGUCAUUCUUAUAUGAUCCGAUUUAAACUCUAAAUUAGAGAGAUUAUUUUUGUUAGACUGUUCCACACUAAGUUUUGAAACAUCACAGAUAGGUCACUAAUCAAGUUUUGCUUGCGUUGCUCAACUUUAAGUGCACUACAGUGCAAACAUAUGUGUCAGUAUUUUUCUUUAAGGAUUUUUUUUUUCUUUUCUGCUCUAGUGACUUUUAUUUGACAGUGUUGAAACAAACAAGCAGAUUGUGAGAGAAGAGGAACACAUGCGUCAAAGAUCACAGGGCCAGGACCCAAAUAGAGGACUAAGGCCGAGGUGUCUGCUGAGAGGGGCAGAGGCGGGGGAGGGGUGCUCUGUGAGGAGGAACCUCGGCUGGAGACUGCAGCUUCAAGGAGGAGUUUUGUUGAAUUAGGCGGGGCUUUGUGAGAGCAAAAGUUUAGGCACCCACUUUUCCUAUGGGAAAUUCAAUGAUUUCUCAUACAUUCAUGAAAGAAUCAAAGCAACAGUCCAGGUUUGCUUUAGAUUAGGGAAAAACAUUGCAACAUGACAUAAGGCUGAAAAAAAGUUGAUUUUACAUAAUACUGUAGCCCCCCUUUAACACUGCUUAGUCAGAACUGAAGGGGUUCAACAUUUCUACAAGGUACUGUACUGAAUAGAGAAGGUAAUUAUCCCAAUGUUGCCAAGUCUGUUCCAGCAAAUGAUUGCAGGUUAUUUUCUCUUGUAACCCCAUCCUACUGUAUGACAUGUUUGACCCACUAGCUGCACUAAAGUGCACAGCUCAUCGUUUUAUUUACCACAGAUUUCUGGAGGCAUUGGGACUCUUAUGUGGCCAGCUGAACUGAGACACAGUCCCAUACAUCAGCAACAAGCACACACACACAUAGUCCACCUGGAUAGGUUUUAGUCAUCAGCCAACUAGCUUAGUGAUUAUGUUUUCCACUGAGGCAAAACUAUCUGAACACCCGCAGACAAAAACCCUCCAACAGAUAAAUGGAUCCAUACACUCGCACUCAGCUGAAAUACUGAGAUUUACAGUCUGUACAAACAGAAAAGACUCACACACACGUGGUCCAGAGUCCCUCUUUGGUUGCUGGGAGUGGGUAAGGAAAGUCUGCGUACAUCAGCAGCAAGUAUAUGAAUGGAAGAAUUGCCUUUGCUCUGGCACCACACAGUCACAAUCCAUUAGCUUUGACGGGGUACCCAAAAGGAUCUGACAGCCUCCUGGCUGUGACUGCUGUGGCCUGGGGUGAUGGGGACAUACCUGUGGCUGCCUUGUGUACUCUGUGGGUAUGUGGGGAAGACUGAGCACACGUAGCAGCUGAGGCCUGGCUGCAACGGUAGCUUUGGCCCUGCAAGUCCACUCCAGCUGUUACCUCUAUAUAUGUUUUUAACAACAAUAAAUUUCUCUCACUUCU